This 254-nucleotide long non-coding RNA is filed under the name Carica papaya (papaya). RNAcentral describes it as "long non-coding RNA (CPAP_LNC003367)". The record is from RNAcentral. Lineage: Eukaryota; Viridiplantae; Streptophyta; Magnoliopsida; Brassicales; Caricaceae.
CAUGCAUAUGGAUUUGGAAAUGUGAACUUAAUUGAUGAUAUAAAUGAACAUAAAAGACUUAAUAACGAAGAAGAGUCAGAGUCAGUCCAAGUGCGUGUGUAGAGCUUGCAUGUGAUUGAGGGUAUGUGUGUUGCAUGGGAUUUUUGGGAUUAAAAUAUAGGGACAUGUAUGGCACUGGGGAUUGUAUGAUAUCGAUUGUAGAGUAUGGAUUAUAGGAUAAGGACUAAUUGAUGGAUUGAUGGAUUGUUAUUGCU